UGAGGAAUAUUGGUCAAUGGGCGCUAGCCUGAACCAGCCAAGUAGCGUGAAGGAUGACUGCCCUAUGGGUUGUAAACUUCUUUUAUAUGGGAAUAAAGUGCAGUAUGUAUACUGCUUUGCAUGUACCUUAUGAAUAAGGAUCGGCUAACUCCGUGCCAGCAGCGCGGUAAUCGA
Molecule: ribosomal RNA, 174 nt
Filed under: uncultured bacterium
Lineage: Bacteria
Description: partial 16S ribosomal RNA
Rfam family: Bacterial small subunit ribosomal RNA
Source: RNAcentral